This 469-nucleotide ribosomal RNA is filed under the name uncultured bacterium. RNAcentral describes it as "bacterial SSU rRNA". It matches the Rfam family "Bacterial small subunit ribosomal RNA", at positions 27 to 507 of the family's 1533-position model. The record is from RNAcentral.
CGGACGAACGCUGGCGGCGUGGAUUAGGCAUGCAAGUCGGACGGUAGGGCUUUAUCGUAAGAUAGAGUUUGAGAGUGGCGAACGGGUGAGUAACACGUAGGAAUCUACCCUUAAGACGGGGACAACCCAGGGAAACUUGGGCUAAUACCGGAUGAGAGUGCGAGAGAUUGCAUUUAAAAGGAUGGCGAAAGUUGUCGCUUAGGGAUGAGCCUGCGGUCUAUUAGUUAGUUGGUGGGGUAAAGGCCUACCAAGGCGAUGAUCGAUAGCUGGUUUGAGAGGAUGAUCAGCCACACUGGGACUGAGACACGGCCCAGACUCCUACGGGAGGCAGCAGUGGGGAAUAUUGGACAAUGGGGGCAACCCUGAUCCAGCAAUGCCGCGUGUGUGAAGAAGGUCUUCGGAUUGUAAAGCACUUUCGACGGGGACGAUGAUGACGGUACCCGUAGAAGAAGCCCCGGCUAACUUCGUG